This 468-nucleotide ribosomal RNA is filed under the name uncultured bacterium. RNAcentral's name for it is "partial 16S ribosomal RNA". It matches the Rfam family "Bacterial small subunit ribosomal RNA", at positions 28 to 507 of the family's 1533-position model. The record is from RNAcentral.
GACGAACGCUGGCGGCGUGCUUAACACAUGCAAGUCGAACGGAAAGGCCCUGCUUUUGUGGGUUGCUCUAGUGGCGAACGGGUGCGUAACACGUGAGUAACCUGCCCUUGACUUUGGGAUAACUUCAGGAAACUGGGGCUAAUACCGGAUAGGAGCUCCUCCUGCCUGGUGGGGGUUUGAAAGUUUCGGCGGUUUGGGAUGGACUCGCGGCUUAUCCGCUUGUUUGUGGGGUAGUGGCUUACCAAGGCUUUGACGGGUAGCCGGCCUGAGGGGGUUACCGGCCAAAGUGGGACAGAGAUACGGCCCAGACUCCUACGGAAGGCAGCAGUGGGGAAGAGUGCACAAUGGGCGGAAGCCGGAUGCAGCAACGCCGCGUGCGGGAUGACGGCCUGCGGGUUGUAAACCGCUUUCGCCUGUGACGAAGAGUGAGUGACGGUAAUGGGUAAAGAAGCACCGGCUAACUACGUG